GAUGAACGAUGGCGGCGUGCUUAACACAUGCAAGUCGAACGAAGCACUUUGAUCGAUUUCUUCGGAAUGAAGUUUUAGUGACUGAGUGGCGGACGGGUGAGUAACGCGUGGGUAACCUGCCUCACACAGGGGGAUAACAGUUGGAAACGGCUGCUAAUACCGCAUAAGCGCACAGUACCGCUUGGUACGGUGUGAAAAAGUCCGGGGGUGUGCGAUGGACACGCGUCUGAGUAGCUAGUUGGCAGGGCAGCGGCCUACCAAGGCGAAGAUCAGUAGCCGACCUGAGAGGGUGACCGGCCACGUUGGGACUGAGACACGGCCCAAACUCCUACGGGAGGCAGCAGUGGGGAAUAUUGCACAAUGGGGGAAACCCUGAUGCAGCGACGCCGCGUGAGCGAAGAAGUAUUUCGGUAUGUAAAGCUCUAUCAGCAGGGAAGAAGAAAUGACGGUGCCUGACUAAGAAGCACCGGCUAAAUACGUGCCAGCCGCCGCAGUAA
RNAcentral lists this ribosomal RNA (497 nucleotides) under uncultured bacterium. Its description in RNAcentral is "partial 16S ribosomal RNA". It matches the Rfam family "Bacterial small subunit ribosomal RNA", at positions 28 to 523 of the family's 1533-position model. The record is from RNAcentral.